Molecule: ribosomal RNA, 429 nt
Filed under: Pseudomonadota bacterium
Lineage: Bacteria; Pseudomonadati; Pseudomonadota
Description: Proteobacteria bacterium partial 16S ribosomal RNA
Rfam family: Bacterial small subunit ribosomal RNA
Source: RNAcentral
UGGGGAAUAUUGGACAAUGGGCGAAAGCCUGAUCCAGCCAUGCCGCGUGUGUGAAGAAGGUCUUCGGAUUGUAAAGCACUUUAAGUUGGGAGGAAGGGCAGUAAGCGAAUACCUUGCUGUUUUGACGUUACCGACAGAAUAAGCACCGGCUAACUCUGUGCCAGCAGCCGCGGUAAUACAGAGGGUGCAAGCGUUAAUCGGAAUUACUGGGCGUAAAGCGCGCGUAGGUGGUUCGUUAAGUUGAAUGUGAAAGCCCCGGGCUCAACCUGGGAACGGCAUCCAAAACUGGCGAGCUAGAGUAGGGCAGAGGGUGGUGGAAUUUCCUGUGUAGCGGUGAAAUGCGUAGGUAUAGGAAGGAACACCAGUGGCGAAGGCGACCACCUGGGCUCAUACUGACACUGAGGUGCGAAAGCGUGGGGAGCAAACAGG